This 906-nucleotide ribosomal RNA is filed under the name Triticum aestivum (bread wheat). RNAcentral's name for it is "partial small subunit ribosomal RNA". Lineage: Eukaryota; Viridiplantae; Streptophyta; Magnoliopsida; Poales; Poaceae. The record is from RNAcentral.
AUGGCGCUUGUGGUGAUGUGCGGGCAGCCGUGCAGCGGCAAGUCAGAGGCUGCAGCUUGUCUCGCUGCCGCUCUUCGCUCCUCCGUGCUUGACGUUACUGUCCGCGUCAUUGACGAGUCAUCGCUCCAUCUUGGACGCGAUGAAAGCUACAAAGAUAUGGUUGUGGAGAAAAACUUAAGAGGAGUUUUGAGAUCAGAAGUUGAUAGGUCCGUGUCACGGGAUGGCAUAAUCAUCGUGGAUUCUCUGAACAAUAUUAAGGGGUACCGAUACGAGCUGUGGUGUCUUGCGCGUGCUUCGGGAAUAAGAUAUCGUGUGUUCUUUUGUGAUACAGAAGUGGACCAUUGUAGGGAUUGGAACGUCAAGCGUCAGGAGAAAGGAGAACCCUCAUAUGAUAGCAAUAUAUUUGAAGAUCUGGCAAGGAGAUUUGAGAGGCCUGAUAGUCGUAGCCGCUGGGAUUCUCCUCUUUUUGAAUUGUUUCCAUCUAGAGAGGAAAUUGUGGAAUCUUCCCCUGUUAUUGCUGAGGCUGUAUCAUAUUUGACUAAGAAAGUGGAUUCGAAAACAAGAGAUGUGAAAGUUCUCCAGCCUACAAUAGCUACUCAGUCUGUACGGACUACUGAGGGUAAUUCACUCUACGAGAUGGACAAAGCAACACAGGAGGUGGUCAGUGCAAUUGUGGAGGCACAGUCUGGUGGUCUUGGGCUUGCCAUGAACAAGAUUUCUCUUGGGCCCGACUUGCCAACUAUUAAUCUUCGAAGACCGGUUGGCCUGCCCGAGCUACGGAGCCUCCGACGCACGUUCAUCAAGCUGGCAGGGCAGUACAGUUUGAGCGGGCGACCCCCACCAACAGACGCCGACAGCGCGAAGAGGAUGUUUGUUGACUACUUGAACCGAGAAAUUGGUGGGUGA